Molecule: long non-coding RNA, 33777 nt
Filed under: Medicago truncatula (barrel medic)
Lineage: Eukaryota; Viridiplantae; Streptophyta; Magnoliopsida; Fabales; Fabaceae
Description: long non-coding RNA (MTRU_LNC001968)
Source: RNAcentral
CAUCCCUCUCUAGAAAUACACCAUCUUGGAAGUAUCAGACGAUAUUAAUGCAUCUAAAUGGGUAUCUUGCCAUCCCAUGCCAUAUCCAUAUGCUGUUUACGGUUGUCAUCACAUAGCUACAGGGAGUAAAGUGUUCAAGGUAUCUUUGGUUGGUGAUGAGAAUGGAGAUAAAAUGGAAGCUCUUGGAAUGUGUCACUUGGAUACAUCUGACUGGAACCCUGAUCAUGAGUUAUUCAAGACACUAAGAAUCAAGCCUGGGAAGAAUUCUUCAGCGUGUCACUUCUUUCCUGUAAACCAUCUUUUGUGGGUUCCGCUACAACCUUCAAAAUCAACCAUAUGAAGGAGUUGACCUAUCUAGAUCUCUAUCAUGUAAAAUAAAUAAUAAAUUGGUCAAUCAACAUUAUCAAUCCGCAGUAGCUAGCAAUAGCAUAUGCAUGCUGCUGAGUGAUCACCAAUUUCAUGUUGUGUGUCUUGUUUCUUAAAUUAUGUAAUGUGUGUUAGUUUGUUAACGUCUGUGUGCAUGAGAAAGGUUGUACAACACAAUCAAAACACAAACUUGGACUUGUUGCAAUCUUUAAUUGCUACUCUAAAUUAAUUAAAAUUAUUUAAUGCUUAACUUGUUUUGUGUCAACUUUUUUUUCUUCUGAAACAACCUUUAUAAGAUUUUGACUUUUGUUUUUUAAUAAUAAGAUUUAAGACUAAAAUAAAUAAAUAAAUAUGGAAGUGACAAUCACGACAUUUCUUAUUUUUAUUUAGCAUCAUCCUUCUCUUAUGCUAUUUAGCUUCUGCAAACAGAAGAAACUAACACAAUAUUAAUUAAAUUUCUAGCAAAGAAUAGUUCUAUAAUUAUCUAGACAAUAAAAUAGUUUGAGGAGUAUCAUGUAAAAUAGAGAAACAAAGAUACCAAACAUAUCGCAUAAUAGAAUGAUAAUUUAUUCAAAAUCAUCCAAUGUACACAAUAUGCGCAACAAACUCUUUCAAUGUCUUAAACCUAAUCCUUGUGGAAAGAACUCUCCAUCACAAGCCAAUUAGCAGCGAGGCCCCAAAACCUAAACUAAGAUGUCUUAUGUUUGAGAAAUAUUUCACGAUGGAUUUUAUCAUGCACUUAGGCAUCUCUCAUGCAAAAAUCAUGAAUUUAUUGUCCAACAUUAAUACCAUCUCCUAGUUUUUUUUUUUUUUUAAGUUGCAAAUGAAAUUUAUUGAUUAUAGUAAGCAAAUAAAUAAGUAUAUUAUUAGUAAAAAUGAAAUAGAGUAAGCGGUUGUGCAUUUCAAUUGUUCCGGUUAACGAUAAGAAAUUGCAGGUCCUGAGUUUAAAUUCGGACGAAUGAAUAAAUAUUAAUAUAAUAAUUAAUUACUAACAUUUUCUUUCUAAAAAAAUUAACAUUUGUUAGUAAUAAAAGUAGGAGAGAGAAGAUGAGUGGACUUACAUGAGCUACAUGUAAGGACAUUAUUAAAUUGAAUAUUUUUACUUGAAUAUCUCUUAUAAUUUCUAAUUAAAUUGUUUGUAUAUGUUAUGCAUUUGAAAAUUUAUUUUCAAAAAAACAUGGUCACCCUUAAGUAUAAUUUUUGGCUCCGUCCGCAGGCAUAACUACAUGUUACUACAUAAAUGUUCCACCCAAUACACAAAUUAAGCAAGUGACCAUUUUCAAGAUUUGGAUGCAACGGACGUAUUCAUUCCAAAAAGAGAGAAACAAAGAAGGAAAAGUGUUAGGAUUUGCAAGAUUUGUGGGGGUAAAAUAUGUACGCAGUCUUGAAUAUCAACAAGAAUGUGUGGUUUUGUUCUUAUAAGAUAUGGCCAAUAUCUCAAAAUUUUCAAAAGAAGAUGAUGAGUCAUGAGAUGUAAAGGUGAAGAUAAAAGAUGGAGGGAAAGAAUCAACAAUGGAUGCAAUUUCAAUGGGGGGACAAUGUCUUCAUUAAGGUUGAUGAUGACUUGGAGCUAAUUUUAGUGCAUAAUAUUAAAUAGGUAUCUGAGACUUAUAGUUCUGUUUUCUCGAUCAUAAUAUUAGUUAGCCAAAUUAAGCUAAUAGAGAUUGUUGGAUAAAAUGUGUUUAACGUUAACCCUUAAGAGUUUUGAUGAUAACAAAGUAUUAAAAAAAUGUCAAUUGGAUAUGUUAAUAUUUGUUCAAGUGUACAUGACUAUAGACAAAAAUUUGACAUCUUAAGAAGGUAUUGGAAGAACAAAUAAAGAGCAAAUACAUCAACAAAAAGGGAAGCUUAAAGCGUCUGAAGAAAACUGCUCCUGAAAAUAAAGCGCUCCUGAAGAUAAAGUGUUCCUGAAGUGAUGACAUCAUCAUAAGCAAGUUCAUCAGAAGCUAAGAAUCACCAAAAGUUGUUUAACGGAUUCAAACUUGUCUAAAGAUCGCAGAAGACUUGAAAAGUGAAGCAACGGCUAUUUUGGAAGGAUUUGAAGGCAUUGAAUGCUUAUUCUUCAAAGAGCGUUGACGUAGUACGUUUGUACAAAGUGUACAACCACUACCUCCACUACUCUGUUUUGUCUCUGCUACAAGACAAGAAAAACAGCUCGGCCUGCAAAGAUGUUCCUUCUCAAUUGGAAUGUAUUUUGAAAUUGAUCUUUCAUAGGACAAUAACCAUAUCAGGCAAAGGAUCAUUGAUCAAAAGUUUCAAACGACUCUAUUUUGAAUGUGCUGACAAUUCAACGUCUCUUUCACACCUCUAUAUAAAGGAGUGAAGACAUAGAGUUUUACAAGAACAAUACCAAGAAUUAACUAUGUUGAAACUCUGUUGAAAUUGUUCUGCAUUCAAAGUUCACUUAUAAUUUCUAUCAAAGCUCAUAUAUUAGAUAUUCUAGUGUCUUUAGAGUCUGUAUCUGAUUUGUACUGUGAACACCACUGAUUGUAUAUCAAGUGUUCAACCUCAAACAUUUUUCUUGGAAUUCUGUUUGAAUUAAGAAGUCUCUUGCAGUUGUGCUUGAGCAAUAGAAGUCUCUUGAUUGUGUUUAGGAGCAUAGGAAAUCUCUUGCAGUUGUGCUUGAGCAUUUGAAGUCUCUUACUAAAUUUAGUAGUGAGCAAUUGUAAUAAGAUAUUACAUAAUGAACUCUCCUUUAAGAGAUCAGUUUCAGAAAACUUUAACCACCAAUCUAAUAGAUGAUUAUGGUGAAGAUUGAUAGGUAAAGUUUCAGAAAGUUUCAAACUACAAAACAACAUCAAUGCGCAAUUUAAAUAAGUAACUGAAAUUUAUAGAUCAAUUUUUUCAAUCAUAAUAUAACCAAGGGUCUCUAAAUUAUAUCUCAGUUACCCAAGUAGGUAUUUUAUGUCAAGAUUUAACUCUAAAUGUCUAAUUAGUUUUUUUAAUUUUGAUUUAUUUGUUAUAAAAGAAACCAUGCAUUGGAUCUUAGAUGUCUAUUGUAAGUUAAAGUCCAAAAGAUGUCAUGCAAGGCAAAACCAAAAUAAUCAUCUGAUCAAAAAGUAAGUCUUGGACAACAGAGUGAACAAAAGCAUCAUAUGGCACUAUAAUAUCAUAAAACCAACCCUUGCAAAAUAAGUCAAAGACUAUAAACAAGUUGCUGCCUCUGGUUUGUUAAAUCAAGUGUCUCUAGUUGUAUGUGUUGUCUACAUCUAAUCAAUCAAGUUUAUCCUUUAGUCAAAACUAUGUAAAAGUCAACCUCUGAUGUAAGAAUCCUUCAAAGACCAAGAAAUAUACUUUUGGAGAAGUUUUCAUGUGAAGAAACCAAAUAAAGGAGUGUGUGUGCUUAAAGAACACAAAGUGUGUGCUCGUGAUUUUCGGAUAUCAAACCAUUAAUUGAUUUUAAUCGUUAAUCUUUGAACUUUCGAUUUUUAUUCGUGGGAAGGGAAAAAAUGAGUAAAAACCCUCAAGACUUUGGAUUCGGGAGCUGGUUACGCGAAGGGAAAGUGCUAGCACCCUAAGCGUCUACGGUAUUCCGUAGAAACCUCUUACCUAGAUUAUCUUGUGCUAAAUUCAUUUGGGUACUUGAAAAAUUAUUACCUAAAAAUCUAAGUGAAAGAAUGGAGAGAAAAGAAAUAUGUUUUUGAUUAUUUUUAUUUGAUUUGGAAAACAAGUGUCCUCUGCCUACGUACCCGUGAGGGAUCAAAACCUCGUAGUUCGGGGUAGAAAUUGGCGUUUGAUUGGUUUUGUGUUUUUUAUAUGUUUUGAAAAAAGGUUUUAAAAUGAAAAGUCAGGUGGCAAAUGAGAAUGUGUUUGUGUUUUUUAUAUUGAAAAAUAAUAGACUCAAAGUAGAAUUAAGUUGAUUGAAAAUUUGAUUAAGAAAAAUAAAAUAAAAAAAGACGGUUACUUGAUUGAAAGUCAAGGUUUGUUAUAAAAAUAUUUUUUUGUGAUUUUUUGAUAUGUGAAUGUUUUUGCUGUUUUUGAAUAAUGAAUGAAAAUUAAACUAACAGAGCAAUAAAAGCAUAUGACCAUAGCACUCUGGAGAAUGAUUAAAUUAAACAAAAAUAUAAUAUUAACAGUUAAUUGAGGACCAGAGCACUCUGGAUUAAUUUAAUUAACAAGGACCAGAUUGUCCUGGAGAAUAAUUAAAUUAAACAAUAAUAUAAUGUUAACAAUUAACUUAGGACCAGAGCACUCUGGAUUGAUAGAAAGAGAAUUAAAAUGCAUGAAAAAGAAAUAAAAAUUAGAUGCUGGGGGGUAAGCAAGAAAUAAAGGGGGGGUGCAAGAACAAAAUAGAAAGAAAACAGAGAAAAGGAAAGGGCCAAAGCGCAAGGCCCAGUAGAGUAUUGGGCUUAAAGCAUACCGGUUUGAGGUCCGGUUCGAUUCAACGUGGGGGAGUAUAAAAGUAUGUUCCCUGGUUUCUUCUCUCAUUCUUAAAACAACAUUCUCUCUCUAAACCAAAAUCCUCUCCCUUCUCUCAAAAAAAAAAAAACUCUGAAAAAACACAAUGAAGAUCUUCAUCUUCAACCUUUCUCCGGCGCGGUGGCUUGCCACCCUAGGGUGGCGGCGCCACCGCCGGAGUUCACUCCAAACACCCCUUUUCAAAGACAAAUACACAUUUUAAACUUCCUUUUUCAUUUUAAACCCAAAUCCGGCCUUAGCUUUUUGAAAUUCGGCCUCCAAAACCCUAGAUCUACAAAACAAACACCAACUACAAACUCUUCACACACUAUUCCGAACACAAAUACGAAUAUAGAACAGGAUAGAUCGAAGCAAAAGAGAGGUGAAGUGAUGUUACCUUUGUUAGAUCGGAGAAAAAAACUUUAGAAAUGGAAAACUUCAAGAUCCGAAAAACUUCACUUGUUUUUACUUCUUUUCUUCUUUGUUUGGCUCGAAAAUGUUGAUUUUGGUGAUGAAAAAUUCCCGUCUGGAUUAUAGUGAAGAAAACCGGUUCGGUUUUGGGCUAGACCAAUUCGGUUUAGUGUUUUUUGGUGUUUAUGUGAUGAUUCGAAAAUUGCUUGCAGUUAUUGUUGUGUUGAAAAAUUUGCUACGGCUGGAAUUUUCUAGUUGGUUUCUUUCCUUUUUUUUGCUGAUUGGUUGUUGUUAUAUUUAUAGAGCUGGAUUAAGAUUUUGUUGCUUGAAGAGGAACAUGACAGACAGUUUUGUGGCUUGGAGAGGAAGUGUGGCAAGCUGUCGUGGCUUGGAGAGGAAGGGUGGCAAGCUGUUUUGGCUUGUUUUCACUUUGGGUAUUAUCGGACAAAAUUUUGACAAUAAUAAAAAUAAUAAUAAGAAAAUACUUAAGGACUAAAAUUUAAAACAAUUGAAAUGUUAAAGAAAAAGAAAACAUGUCACGUGAGUGACAAAAGGGAAGUAAAGAGAUCAUAAGAAAAAAAGAAACGUGAGUAAUAAAAAGGAAACAUGAAUUAACUAAUAAAAAGAAAUAAAAGGAAAUAACAAUAAUUACUAAAGGUGUAAUGAAUAAUAAUAAACAAAAUUAAAAUUGUCCCUUUUGGAAUCAAAUGAGGCUUUUAAAAUAAGAAUAAAAGGGGUAAUAUCAGAUAAGAAUGGUCAAAAUUUGGGGUAUGACAGUGUGUUAUCGUGUGCCAAUACAUAAUAUGUUCAACACCGUAACUCAACGGACCUCAUUUAAUUUGGGAAAGACUAGUUUUUUCCCACCAUGGAAAAACAAGUUUCAACCAUUAAAUUAAAUGAAGAAUACAGUCAUAUCAUACUCCCUCAAUACUAUAUUGUUCUCCCUUUCUCUUCAACCUCACAAUAACCGAUUUCUCACUUUCUCUCUCUAACUCCUCCUCCUCUCCUCUCUCUCUUCCAAUUGCAUCAUUAUAACCACCACACCAUCAUGUUUAACACAUAGAUCUCCCUCACUCUUUCUACAUUUUGUGAUAAUUUGAUUAUUUGAUCAAAGAUUGAUAUGGUUUUGGAUUUUUUUAAAUUCUUAUCUCUCUCUUAUUUUAUGGUUUUGGAUUUGAUUUUUCACCAUGUUUGAUUAUACUACUGGAUUUGUUCAUUUGUAUUCCAUGUUCCAGUUCCUUCAUGGGUCCACUUGUUCCCCACUCUUUCUUCCCAAUUGCCGCAACUGAUGCUUCCAAAGAUCUCAUAUACUGUUUGAAAAAUGAGUUAUUUUGGUUAAUUAAUAGCUAGCUAUUUUGUAUUAAGAUGAAAAUAAUGAUGAAAAAGAUUAACAGUCAUAUGUUCUGGAUAGAGAAACUAGGAAACCAAAAGGUUAUGGAUUUUGUGAGUAUAAGGAUGAAGACUAAAAUAAAAGAUGAUUCUUUUAAUAUUGAUAUAGAAACCACAUAUAAGUCUAAUGGUAUUGUAUAAGUGUGGAAUUAAAGAAAAAUGGAGGUGUGAGAUCGUGUAACUGUUACGGUAGAAGCUACAAUUAUUAUGGUUAGAGGUUGCUUUGCUUCAAGAGGAAAAGACACAAAGGUAGGGGGAGAAGGGUGGUGGUGGAAGAUGAUGUGGGAAAGAUCUAGUGCUGAGAGACCAUAAUAACAUUGUGUUUCCUAUUUAAUCUAAUGGUCAAAAACUAACUUUCCCAUGGUGGGAAAAAACUAGUCUUUCCCAAAUUAAACCCCACCUAACUCAACAACUCUCCAUAGUGAGUGAAACCACAACACAUAAAAAAUCUGAAGAACAUGUGUCUCCCACUAUAGAAAGAUAGCAAAGAGUGUGUGUCAAAGCGAAUAUCUAAGAGAUAUAUCAUACUAUGGCUAUAUAAAAAGAGAUAAAAAAAAUGCGUGAACACAUGUCUGUAGAAUCUGCUCAUAACCUUGAGAGAUUAGAAAACUAAUGUCAAUUAAUGAAUAACCUAUGGUAUUUUAUUUAUUUAUAGAAAAAGAGCUUGUAAAAGGUUGUUCAUAUAUUAUAUCCUCUCAACUGAAAGUGAUUAUAUCAUAUUGUACAUCAAUCAAAUUGUAUUAUUACACUUGUACUGAUGUAUAAUAUAUUGAAAUGUGAUAUCCUAUCAAGAUGAGAGUAAUCGAAACAAUCUCUAAUUUUGUAUCACACAUAUACAAAUUACAAACUCAUCCUAUGUUGUAAUUGAUUGGUUAGUGACAACAACCUCUUAUCCAAAAAGGGUUUGAAAAGAUCGAUAUUAAAUAUUUGACUCCUCAAAGGACUCAGGUGAGCAAGAAUCUUUGAGAAGACGAAGUUGAUUCAGACCAAGUCAAAAAAUUUGCUUGAUGAAGCCAUGAUGAUUGAGAAGGAAAUGACUUGGGAAUCAAAUAUCUAGAAGAAAAUCUGAUGUACGACCAGUUUGCAAGUGAUUGUAAUCGAAUGAUUAUAGUGAAUUAAGUCUUCGACUGUAGAGAGACAAAUUCUGUCCGCAGACGAGACUAAAGGCAGCUGUCGGUCAGAUUGUGAACCAAUAUAAAACAUAAUGUGUCUUUAUGAUUGAACUCAUGUUUUUUUUUUUUAAUAAAUGGUUUAACUCAUAUUGUAAUUGAAGGUGUGAAAAACACAAGAAGGGGGGUUGAAUUGUGUUUUCUUUUUCUCUCAAAAAAAUUACCUCUUCUGAUAAAACUUUAGAAGCAGUUUGUUAAUGCUUCUGAUGAAAUGAUCAGAAUCAGAUAUGCAGCGGAAAAGAACAGAGCAGAGAAAAGAAAGACAAAGACACAGGCAGUUAUCCUGGUUCCUUCCACAAAUCGGAAGUAGUCCAGUCCCCCUUGCACUUCCAAGGAGAUUUCACUAUAAUCACAAAGAUUACAAAUGCUCAAUACUCUCUAAGUAUGAAACUUCUCAAAAAUGCUCAAGCACACACGCAAGAGUCUUCCAAUGCUCAAGCACUAAGCAAGAGACUUCUAAUGCUCAAGCACACAGGCAAGAGACUUCUGAUCAAACAAAAAUACAGAGAAUUAAGUUUGACUUGAACACUUGAUAUACAAUCAGCGGUGUUCUCAAUAAAAAAACAAUAAAGACUCUAGACUUUGAAUUUCUAAGAUGUAUCAAAUCAGUGCAGAAAUUCAGUGUGCUUUGUAGAAUCAAAUUGACAGAGUUUUGGCGCUUUUUAACUUAUGUAUAUCUCUCUACAAUCUUCAAGUCUUCACUCCUUUAUAUAGAGGCGUGAAAGAGACGUUGAGAUAAUCAGCACGUCUAAAGAGUCGUUUGAAAUCCUUUGAUCAUUCACCAGUAAUCCUUUGCCUGAUUUGGGUGUAGUCCUUUGAAGAAUUAGCUUCAAAUUCAUUCCCAUCUUGAAGGCACAAAUUCUGCAGGCAUAGCUGUUGUCUUGUCUUGUAGCGUGGACAAAGCAGAGUAGUGGAGGUAGUGGUUGUACACUUGUACUUUGUCAACUCUUGUUAACGAAGGACAAAUGCUCAGUGCUAUCCAAAUGACCGUUGAUACCUCUCUUUCAAUUCUUCGUUCUUCUUAGAUAAGAUUGAAAUGAGAAACAGCUACUUUGGAUCUUCAGUUUGAAUUUACGGAUUAAAUGUAGCUUCUGGUGAUGAUUUCGCUUCUGAUGAAAACCUUGCUUCUGAUAACCUUCUGCUUCUGAUGACGUCAUCACUCCAGAUGCACUUCAGCUUCAGAAGCACUUUAGCUUCAGACGCAGUUUUCUUCAGAUGCUUAGAAUUUCUUUUUCUUUCCAUUGUUCUUCCAAGACCUAUUGAAAUAACUUGACUAGCCUUUGGUCCUGUACACUUGAACAAUUAUUAGCAAUAACCAAUUGACAAUUUUUAAUACCUUGUUAUCAUCAAAACUUAUUAAGGUUCAUUGUGAAACACAUUUUGUUCCAACAGUAAUAUCUUCAAGGGAUAAACAGCUAUUUGCACAAUUUACACAACUUAACUCAUGAUGUUUUUUUGUUUGUCUAUGAUCUGUAAUUCAGAACGAUAACUUAAGAGAAAGUAAAACCAAUACACCAACUAUAUUAGUCACAAGCAACAAGACUACAUAAUUUUUCAUAAUUCAUUAACAUUAAAUCAAUUCGACAUUUCGUUAACAACUUAACACCACACAACUCCCCCUUUCUUCCUCUCUAUCUUCUCUCCUUCUCAAACCCUAGCCGUCACCCUUUUCUUCUUCUUCUUCUUUUUAGAGGGGUGAUUUAGGGUUAAUUUUGACUCAAAAAUCACCUCUCCAAAUUGUUUUUCCUUCUUUCCUAAUUUAAUAAGUGAUUUCACAUAUUUUCUGUUUUCUUUCGUAUGUUUUUGUGAUUUCGUCGUCUCUGAACGACUUUGUUUGUUUUGAUUUCACGUCUUUGUGCGGUGUGUUUUUUAUUUGCCGUCUUAGUGCGAUGUUUAUUUGAUUUAUGUUGAAAGAUUAGCUUUGAGCAAGUGCAGAUCCGAUCAACGACAAUGACUUUGGCGUCGUCAACGUUGCACAUCCGGAUACAUGAGUAUUCCAGAUACAUAAAUAUAGUCAUAUUAAUCAUAUUUGUAGGCAUAUGUACUUUGCCGUUUUAUGCUAUCAACAUGGAUGUUGUGAGUUUGUUCACAAAUUCAUUAUUUUUGUUUUUAGCGAAUUUGUAUUGUAUCAAUGUAUUUUGUCAAUUUGAAUGAAUGAAUAUUGUUUAUUUUUGUGAAAAAAAAACUUAACACUACACAAAUGUUUAAAAUUCAACCAAAGUGAAGCAUUAGACAACACAUUACACAACAAUACAUGAAUAAAGUUAAAAAGCUCAUAAAAUGACAUCAAAUCUCUACUGGUAAUCUAAGCAGCUGCAGUUGGAACGAACACAUAGAUAUAACCUAUUAUUUUCAACCACAGACCUAAACAUAUAUUCUACGUCACUAUCAUCAUGAAUAACCAGAUGAUAAUAAACUGUUUUUCACACGUCUUCAUCUUUAUCCGCCCCCAUAUCUACACAUGGUACUUGUACAAAUACAUAAGAUGUAGUAUGAUUUUCACCAAGAUAGGCAAAAUAUUUGUUAAGUUGUGUCUUCAACUCAUCCAUUAUGUCGGUUAGAGUUAAAAAAACUUUAAUCGUCUUCUUGAAAGCGGAAUAUCAUACAUGAGUUUCAAUUUAUGCAUCUUCAUACUUGUUUAACUUUACAGAAGUUUAUGAAAUAACAAAUAUUAGAAUAAAAUAAAAUGAAAGUUAAAAUAGAUUAUUGUAGAAACAUAGACUUUUAUUUAUAUAUUAAAUACGGAAAAUUAAUAACCAAGAAAACCGAUGGUGCUUUGUCCACUCUUUACUCGAUCUAUCUUGUUUCUCACAUGAAUUGAUCAACAAAAACAUCAUUUUGUUUUCAAAAAAAGUUUUUAUUUAUUUUCUUAAAUAAAUAAUUUUUAAACCAUAAAGAUUAGAAAGAAGACAUUUUGUUCAGCUUCCUAAAAAGGAAUUAAUAAUAAUAUUUUGUAGAAAAAAAGAAGCCAAAAGAGCAACAAGUUAAACAGAAAGGUGUAUUUGGGUUUACAUUACAGAGUUGAAUGAAAGAACUGAACUUCACCAAGGAACAUAAAUGAAAUGAGAGAUGCAAGGCCUUCAACAACAACAACAGCAACUAGCUUCACUUCUCUCCGCCGCUCUCCCCAACCUCAACAAAGACUCCUCCGAUGACCCCUCCUCUCGCCUCGCCGCUCUCAACUCCCUCCAUCGCGCCAUCCUCCACCCUCACAACUCCCUACUCAUCUCUCACUCCGCCUCUUUCCUCUCCCAAAAUCUCUCUCAACUCCUCUCCGACAAGUAACCCUAAUUCCCUCCUCUCCUCCUUCUUUAUUCAAUUCAUUAUCUGUCAUGUCAAGCACUAACACAGACACAAGUUUACACCGGACACAGACACCUCUACACAGGUGUCCGUGUAGUUUAUUAUUAUUGUUAUUUAUUUUUAUUUUUUUAUUUUAUUUUAUUUUUGUUGUGAAAUUCUGUUGCAGAUCGUUUGAGGUGCGUCAAGCGGCGGUUACAGCACACGGAGCACUGUGCGGUGUAAUCUGUUCAAUUCCUGUCAACUCUAACGGCCGUCAGAAUCAUGUCAUACUCAACACUUUGGUUGACCGUUUCAUCGGUUGGGCAUUACCGUUACUCAGCAAUGUUACUUCCACUGAUGCUACAAAGGAACUCGCGCUACAAGGUUUGCGCGAGUUUCUUAACGUCGGUGGUAAUGAACGGUAUGCUUUACCUAUUCUCAAAGCGUGCCAGGCGCUUUUAGAAGAUGACAGAACUUCGUUAGCGUUACUUCAUGCGAUUUUGGGGGUGAUAACAUUGAUUUCGUUGAAGUUUAUUAGGUGUUUUCAGCCACAUUUUCAUGAUAUUGUUGAUCUUUUACUUGGUUGGGCUUUGAUGCCGGAUCUUGCGAAAUCGGAUAGGAGGGUUAUUAUGGAUAGUUUUUUGCAGUUUCAGAAGCAUUGGGUUGGUGGGUUGACAAUGUCUUUGAGGUUGCUUACUAAGUUUUUGGGGGAUAUGGAGGCUUUACUUCAUGAAGGAAUUUCAGGGACACCGCAGCAGUUUCGGAGGCUUUUAGCUUUGCUUUCAUGUUUUUCAACGAUUUUGCAGUCUACUGCUUCGGGUUUGCUGGAAAUGAAUAUGCUUGAGCAGAUAAUUGAACCUCUUAACGGGUUGCUUCCGAGAUUGCUUAGGUGUUUGCCUUUGAUUGGGCAGAAAUUCGGAUGGUCUGAAUGGAUUGAAGAUUCUUGGAAAUGUUUGACUUUAUUAGCUGAAAUAUUGCAGGAACGGUUUUCGAGUUUUUAUUCUCUUGCACUUGAUAUAUUGUUUCAGAGCUUGGAAUAUCAGACUGGGUUUGGGAAGAUUAGCUCUGUUCAAGUUCAUGGUGUUCUGAAAACUAAUCUCCAGUUAUUGUCCUUGCAAAAACAUGGCCUUCUCCCGUCGUCUGUGCGGAAGUUAUUGAAGUUUGAUGCACCGGUUUCUCAGCUGCGAUUGCAUCCAAAUCAUUUGGUGACAGGAAGUUCUGCAGCUACCUAUGUUUUCUUGCUUCAGCAUGGGAAUGCAGAAGUUGUUGAUGAAGCGGUCGCCUUAUUGAUUGAAGAACUUGAGCUGUUGAAGAGCGUGAUAGGAAAGGAUACCGAUGAUUCCGAUCAGUUCAAUUUCGAUAUAGAUUCUAAAACAUUUUCGAAACUUGAACUGUUUGCGGUGAUCAAAUUUGAUUUGAAAGUUCUAUUAGCAUGUGUUUCCAUGUCAGGGGAUAGCAGUUUGAUUGGCCAAACAGAAAGAGCUACAUUGUAUCUUACGAGGUUGGAAAAGUUGCUGUCCUUUAUCACGGAAAAGAUGGACCCUUUUGAGUUGCCCAUUCAGGCGUUCAUGGAGUUGCAGUUCGCUGCAGUCAAGACAUUGGAGAGGCUAAAUUCAGUUGAGUUCUUAAUUAAGUGUUCCCUAAGAGAACAUAACCGUGAUGAAGAUUCUGUUGAGUUUCAAGCUAAAAAGGAGGAUGAUGACGAUAAAUUCUGUGAUGGGUUUUCUGCCGUGAUUACUGAGAAUUUGGAAAAAUACAGCAAAUUCCUUGUAAAAGCCCUUCAUGUUUCUUCUCCUCUGGCUAUCAAAAUAGCAGCUCUAGAUUGGGGACAAAAGUUGUGCGAGAAUGUUAUAGCUGUUAAUAAGAUCGCAAGCACAAAAGGCUUCUCUUAUGAAUCAUGUGGAAAUGCUGGUGUAAUCAUGAACUUGGUUUUCUCACUUUUAGGUGGUACAUUUGAGAGGGAACCGGAAGUAAGAUCAAAUGUUGCAAUAACCUUGGAGAUGUUUAUACAAGCAAGGCUUUUGCAUCCUGUAUGCUUAUAUCCCUUAGCUGAAGUGAUACUGGAGAAACUUGGGGAUCCAUCAACAGAGAUACAGGAUGCAUAUGUGAGACUACUUUCCCAUAUUUUGCCAACGACCAUAUAUACAUGUGGUCUCUAUGAUUACGGGAGAUUUAGACCUGUUGAUCUCGGGUUUGGCAACACUACAAAGAUGCACUGGACACAAUUAUUCGCCCUGAAGCAGCUGCCACUCCAACUUCAAUCACAACACCUGGUGUCAAUCUUAAGUUACAUUUCACAAAGAUGGAAGGCACCUCUUUCUUCUUGGAUCCAGCGCCUCGUUCAUAGUUGCCAGAGUUCAAAGGAUGCUAUUUCAAAUCAGCCUGAAGAAACAGGAAAUUUUGGUGCUAAUUGUCCGUGGUUGGAUAUACAAGUGGAUGAAGGCAUGCUUGAAAGAGCAUGUUCGGUCAAUAAUAUAGCUGGUGCCUGGUGGGCUGUACAGGAAGCAGCUCGGUACUGUAUUUCUACACGUCUUAGGACAAAUCUUGGUGGGCCUACCCAAACAUUUGCUGCUCUAGAGCGCAUGCUGUUGGACAUUGCACACCUUUUGCAACUUGAUAAUGAGCAAAUUGAUGGGAACUUAAGCAUGAUAGGGUCUUCUGGUGCUCAUUUGUUACCAAUGAGGUUACUGCUUGAUUUUGUUGAGGCUCUGAAGAAAAAUGUAUACAAUGCAUAUGAGGGUUCUGUCAUUUUACCAUCUGCUACCCGUCAGAGUUCUGUAUUCUUUCGGGCCAACAAAAAAGUUUGCGAGGAUUGGUUUUCUCGUAUAUGUGAACCAAUGAUGAAUGCUGGAUUGGCUCUACAUUGCAACGAUGCUGUUAUUCAAUACUGCACACUUCGUUUGCAAGACCUCAAGAAUCUUUCUGUAUCAGCUUUGAAAGAAAAGCCAAGGGCUCAGGUAACUGAUAACCUCCACAAUAUCAGAGGAAGAAAUAAAGGAGACGUCUUAAAAGUUUUAAGACACAUUUCACUAGCUCUUUGCAAGAGUGCUGAACCAGAUUCUUUGAUUGGCCUACAAAAAUGGGUUUCAGCUACAUUUUCCUCCUUACUCGGGGACGAAAACCAGUCCUUCAAUGAGUUUGGAACUGUUGGACCCCUUUCAUGGAUAAGUGGGCUUGUAUAUCAGGCAAGAGGCGAGUAUGAAAAUGCUGCAGCUCACUUUACUCACUUACUGCAGACGGAAGAGUCACUCAGUUCUCUGGGCUCUGAUGGUAUACAGUUUGUUAUAGCACGUGUAAUUGAGAGUUAUGCUGCUGUAUCUGAUUGGGAAUCUCUUGAAUCCUGGCUGCUAGAAUUGCAAUUGCUUCGUGCCAAGUACACUGGUAGAAAUUAUACUGGUGCCCUGACAAUGGCAGGCAAUGAAGUUAAUGCAAUCCAUGCAUUGGCACGUUUUGAUGAGGGUGAUUAUCAGGCUGCAUGGUCAUCCCUUGAUUUGACACCUAAAAGUAAUAGUGAGCUUACCCUUGAUCCAAAAUUAGCCUUGCAGAGGAGCGAGCAGAUGCUUCUCCAAUCGUUGCUCUUCCAGAAGGAGGGAAAGAGUGAUAAGGUGCUUCAUGACUUGCAGAAAGCAAGGUCAAUGUUGGAGGAACCACUUUCUGUUUUGCCCCUUGAUGGGUUAGCCGAAGCAACACCUCUUGCUAUACAGUUGCACUGCAUUUUCCUUGUAGAAGAGGAUCUCAAGCUUAAAUCAACUGAUGAGAAGGCCAAACAACUUCAGUCAUCAAUAAAUUCUCUUCAGCCAUUUCCAUUCUCUAUAAGUAAAAUCCGCCAAGAUUGUAAUCCAUGGCUGAAAGUUCUUCGGGUUUAUCAAACCAUUUCCCCAACUUCUCCGGUUACUCUAAAAUUCUGCAUGAAUUUGCACAGUUUAGCUCGUAAACAAAGAAAUCUAUUGCUGGCAAAUCGUUUGAACAACUAUAUCAAAGAUAACAUAUCUGCUUGCCCAGAGGAGAAACAUCGCAAUCUUCUUGUCUUAAAUUUGCAGUACGAGAGCAUUUUACUGCAGUAUGCUGAAAACAAAUUUGAAGAUGCUUUCACAAGCCUUUGGUCGUUUUUACGCCCUUUUAUGAGUUCUUCAACAUCUAGAAUAUUUGACGUGGAAGAGAGAAUUCUGAAGGCCAGAGCUUGCUUGAAACUCGCUGGUUGGCUACGGCGUGAUUUUUCAGAUUGGAAUCCAGAGAGUACUGUUCGGAAGAUGUUAGCAGAUUUUGAUGUGACUGAAUCAACUUCAAUUGGCAAAGACGUCAAUAAUGAAAAUAUAAACUGUAAACAGAAUUUAGGUUCUAUUAUCGAGGAAAUUGUUGGUACAACAACAAAAUUGUCUUCUCGUAUUUGCCCCACCAUGGGCAAGUCAUGGAUUUCUUAUGCUUCUUGGUGCUUUAAGCAAGCCGGAGGCUCACUCCCUGUUCAGAGUGAAACUACCCUGGAUUCUUGCUUAUUUUCUCCCAUACUUGUUCCAGAAAUUUUGCCUGAGAGAUUCAGACUGACCAAGGAUGAAGUUAAACGAAUCAAGUCAUUGCUUUUGUGUCUUCUUCAGGACAAUAUUGAUAUGGAAGGUUUCAUAGAUGAACAGGAAGAGGAAAGCUCUGGGUAUGAUUCUGCAGAGCACUCAAGUACUGAAAAUCCUCUGCAGAAAUUGGUAACGCAUGUAGUGAAUAUUAUUGAAACCGCUGCAGGGGCACCGGGUGCAGAAAACUCCGGUGGAGAACGCCUUUCAGCCAUCAUAUCUUCUCAAUUAAGGAUCUGUUUGUUAAAUGCAAACCUUGGGCCGGAAGAAUCUGACAUAGUAUCUAUAUUGGAUGAUUUUGUUGAUAUUUGGUGGUCUUUGAGGAGGAGAAGAGUGUCCCUGUUUGGACAUGCUGCUCAUGGUUACAUACAAUAUCUUUCUUAUUCUUCUUCCCAUCUUGGCCAUAGUCAAAUGCUUGGGUCUGAAAAUGAUACUUUCAAGCAAAAAACUGGCAGCUACACUCUGAGGGCUACUUUGUAUAUAUUGCAUAUACUUCUCAAUUAUGGUGUGGAAUUGAAAGAUAAUCUUGAAUCUUCCCUUUUGGUUGUUCCUUUGUUGCCAUGGCAGGUCGCGUGCUAGAUCUUGAACUUUUACUUUUACUUCUAUCAGUUUUAAAGGGAUGCUAGUUUUGCUGAAGUGUUUCAUGAAUUGUUUUUUUAGGAAGUUACACCUCAACUGUUUGCACGUUUGAGUUCUCAUCCCGAAAAAGUGGUUCGGAAGCAGUUGGAGGGUUUGCUGAUCAUGCUGGCCAAGAACUCUCCUUGUUCUAUAGUUUACCCAACUCUAGUUGAUGUCCAUGCUUAUGAAGAGAAGCCUUCAGAGGAGCUUCAUCAUGUGCUGGGUUGUCUGGUAAUGUGAAAAAUUAUGUUUUCAUUUUGCAGCUUGUAUAUAUAUUUUUUUUGACAACAAUUGUUUUCUUUCACAUCAUAUGGAAGUUCUCACCAUGCAACAAUUCAACUAGCAUGACCUGGCCCUCUGGGCAGUGUUUUUUUAGCCAAUCUUUUCAGCGUGAGAAAUGAUUUAGUAGUAUUGAUGUCUGAUAUAUAAUUUAGUAGGUUUUUGGAUAAGAAAUCAUUUGGUUUUGGUAGAAAAAGUAAAACCAAUCACGAGGAUUUACCUAACACCUUUAUUUUCCAUGAUAGUUGGUGUUUAGAGUCCCAUAUUGGAUGUGAAAUCACCUGAAAAAGAGUUUAUAAGUGGACAUCCUUUACCUUGCAAGUUACAAGCCAAUUUUGUGUGAUUGAGUUAGACCCAAACUCAAAUUUUAAGAUGAUAUGGGAGCCUAUUCAAGAUUCGUUCGGCCAUCUGGGUCACACUCCAGAUACAUGAGGCAGUGUUUUAAAAGUCUUAUAUUGGAUGUGAAAUGGUCUGAAAAAGUGUUUAUAAAUAUUGGAUAUCCCUCACAUUACAAGUUAGUUUUGUAGGGUUGCGUUAGACUUAGCCCAAAUUUUUAGAUGAUAUCAGAGUCUAUCCUAAAUAUAUAUGAGAUCAGAUCAAAUGACACCAAGUGUCAAAUUUAUGUUUGACCCCCAAAUCUUAUCAUUUUGUUUAAUCCAACGUUCCGUGACGAUUCACUUAAAGAGUCACGUGUAUGUCUGUUUCCUUACCUAAGAUACACCACCCCCUCAUGUUCCUGUCUCCCGUCGCAUGAGUACACUUAUUGAGUCUCUUGCCUCCAAGUUUUCUAUGUUUGCUCUCGUGAAUAAGGAUUUGUAAUUUUAAUAUUUUGUUUGUCUUUCUACAAUAAUGAGAGGAGAAAAAGAGAGAAAUCAAAAACCGCGAUUGAAUACCAACUAUGAGCAAGAGAAAGAUAGUAGUAACAAGAGUGAAAAAGCUGAUAGUGUGCCCACAAGAGGUCGACAGAAAAGGGGCACAUAAAGGAGAGGAAGAUCAUGGGCUAGAAAUCGGAGGUGAGAUUGCAAAUCACCUCAAAUUUAGUAUUCCAUGAGAGUACCAAACAAACACAUUAAAAUGGAUUGCCAUGUCAUUAGCAAGAAGAUCUUAUUGGGAGACAUUACGACUAGCUUUGUAAAUUCAAAGGACCGAUUGGCAAAUGUCUUCCCCUAUUUCUUUGAGAGAUCCUCAGAUUGAUUACAUAUGUAACAAGCUUGGUCCAUAUGAUUUACUCCCUCUGGCCUUCUUUUUAUGCAAAUCUAUCCAUUUGCACACUUAUUAAGAAGUCAAUUUUUGUAUUGAUUUUAUGUAAAAGUUGUGUUACAAUUGCUAAAAUGACCUUAUUUAAUUACUAGCAAUAAACACCAUUUUUUUUUUUGCUUAUAGAUAAGGCUGGAGGGAGUAUAUGCUUUAGCUUGAGGGGAGUGUUAGAAUUAUUGUAAAUAGGAUAAAUAUCCUGUUACAACAGUUAUGGAAAUUUUAAAUCCUUGUAUUUAUAACUAGAUUUAAUAUUCUGCUGUGUGUAAUUAGAUAUACGAAUUCUCACUUGCUUUCUGGUCUCCUUCUCAACAUUCUUAAUUAGGAAUGAGUUUCAUAUAAAGGGAUAAUGAAAUCUUGCACUGUUCAUGCUUCAAGCCCAAAAGGCUCUUGCAUGAAAUGGUUUGUAAAGAUAUAAAACCAGUUAUGGCUUUACGUAACAACGUCAGUUUUUAGAAGAGUUGGAUGGUGAUAGUUUUAACUCGGAAAUGGAACUGCUACACCAAAUGUCAAAUUUAUCUCUUGAUCUUUCUGUGAGUCUUAGGUCCCAUUGAACUUGAAAUAAUUUUGUUGGUUUAGUAAAGAGGUUCUGUGAGUCUUAGGUCUGCGAGUAUUGGGUCCUCAAAUGAAUUUGAAGUGUUAGUGGGUUACACUGAAUGUCAUCAUAAGUGACUCGGCAUACUUAUCAAAUUAUGCACUACACACUACUUAGUCUGAAAUGGGAUUUCGGAUAAGCAAGUGGAUAUCAGUAUGUUUUUCAGCUGAUUGAGCAUUUCAAUGGGUACUCGUUUGUUUGACCAGGCUUCUUUAUCACAACACACAUUAGUUUGAAUGAUACGUCAAUUGAAGUCAUUGAUUUUAUACUGACUUUAUCUUAGCUUGCUUGGCCAAAGUAGCAUGUAGGAUGAUCAGUUUUUGUUUCAUGCAGAGGGAGCUUUACCCUAGAUUGGUUCAGGAUGUUGAACUGAUGAUAAAUGAGCUAGGAAAUGUUACUGUUCUCUGGGAGGAAUUAUGGCUCAGUACUCUUCAGGAUCUUCACACAGGUUUUUUUCCUUAUUUUCCAAUAUUUCAUUGCUCUUGGAAUACCUUUUUAUUGAUCUAGAUUGAAGAAUUAUUGACUCUUUUUAAUGUUUGAUGAAUGAAUUUCAUCUUUUCUUUUUAUUGUACAAUUUGGAUUUUCCUGUUGGUGAACAGAAAUGGGGCUAACUAUAUUUUGUUGCAGAUGUGAUGAGGAGAAUAAAUGUACUUAAAGAGGAGGCUGCAAGAAUUGCAGAAAAUGCCACACUUAGUCACAAUGAAAAGAGAAAGAUUAAUUCUGCUCGUUAUUCUGCAAUGAUGGCUCCAAUAGUUGUGGCUUUGGAACGUCGUUUGGCUUCAACUUCUCGAAAACCUGAGACUCCUCAUGAAGCUUGGUUCCAAGAAGAGUAUAAAAACCCACUGAAAUCAGCUAUUAUAUCCUUCAAGACUCCUCCAUCAUCUUCUUCAGCUCUCGGGGAUGUAUGGCGACCUUUUGAUAGUAUUGCUGCAUCCUUGGCUUCUUACCAGAGGAAAUCUUCAAUUUCCUUACAAGAAGUUGCACCACGCUUGGCUCUGUUAUCAACUUCAGAUGUUCCGAUGCCAGGUCUUGAGAAACAAAUGAAAGUACCUGAUUCCGGCAAAGCAACUGAUCUUCAAGGGGUUGUUACCAUUGCUUCUUUCCUCCAACAAGUCACUAUCUUAUCAACAAAGACUAAGCCUAAGAAACUUGGUAUUCUUGGUUCGGAUGGUCAAAAGUAUACAUAUCUCCUUAAAGGACGAGAAGAUUUGCGCCUUGAUGCCAGAAUUAUGCAACUCCUUCAGGCUAUAAAUGGUCUGUUGAUUUCUUCUUCUUCCACACGCAGCAAAUCUCUUGGCAUUCGAUAUUACUCUGUGACUCCAAUCAGUGGCCGGGCUGGGCUAAUCCAAUGGGUGGAUAAUGUAGUCAGUAUUUACAGUGUAUUUAAAUCUUGGCAAACCCGUGCCCAGCAUGCACAGUGCGUGGCAUUGGGCACUGCAAAUACAAAAUCCUCAGCUCCUCCACCUGUUCCUCGUCCCAGUGAUAUGUUUUAUGGGAAGAUCAUACCUGCACUUAAAGAGAAAGGCAUUAAGAGAGUGAUUUCACGAAGGGAUUGGCCGCAUGAAGUCAAAUAUAAAGUUCUUCUGGACCUCAUGAAGGAGGUGCCUAGACAUCUUCUUCACCAAGAGCUAUGGUGUGCUAGCGAAGGAUAUAAAGCCUUCAACUCAAAAAUGAAAAGGUGUAUUAAUGGAACUUUAAGCCCUUACUUUACUGGUGUAUUUUGUGGUUGCCAUUUAUGAUUAAAAAUCAAUGGUUAAAAUUCAUUGUCUAAAUGUGGAUUUGGUUUUUGGGGAUUUAUUUAUAUAUUUUGGCUUUCCCCUUUAUAUUAUGGGAUUGGAACUGCCUUUAAACAGAGUAAGUUUAGUUCAUCCUACACUUUGGAGGCUUGCGAUUCUUUCAUUACAUACUAACUUAUUCUUGACAUUAGUUCCUUUAUGUCCUCUCCUCGUAUGAUUAACCAAAUUUGUCUUUAUCUUCUUGUUAUCAUUUUGUGGCAAAUACAAAAUUCUGUUUGUAACUAUUCUAUUUGAAAGUGUUUCCAAACCCUAUGUUGUUGUAAAUUUAUCAUGAUUGUCUUGUUUUCUUCAAUCUGUAGGUAUUCUGGAAGCCUUGCUGCAAUGAGUAUGGUUGGUCAUGUUCUGGGACUGGGUGACCGACAUUUAGACAACAUUCUUAUAGAUUUUUGUGGUGGGGAUAUUGUACAUAUUGAUUACAAUGUGUGUUUUGAUAAGGGACAAAGACUAAAAAUUCCAGAAAUCGUUCCUUUCCGUCUUACACAUAUGAUUGAAGCAGCUUUAGGACUUACUGGAAUAGAGGGUACCUUCAGAGCAAACUGUGAGGCAGUUAUUGGCAUUCUAAAAAAGAACAAAGACACACUUUUGAUGUUACUAGAAGUGUUUGUUUGGGAUCCACUUGUGGAGUGGACACGGGGUGAUUUUCACGACGAAGCUGCAAUUGGUGGUGAAGAAAGGAAGGGCAUGGAGUUGGCUGUUAGCUUAAGUCUAUUUGCAUCUCGAGUGCAGGAAAUUCGCGUUUCCCUACAGGUACAUACUGAACUAAAAGCUAUAUAUAUGUAUAUGCAUUCUACAUAAGGAAGUAUGUUUGAUGUGGCCUGACAUAAUUAGAUGAGUGGUAUUACAAACUUUGAUUUAUAGUGUGUUUGGAAAGUCAGGUUUUCUGUGGUGUGACCAUGUGGUAGCAUGAAGCUAUGCCUGUAAGACUAAGGCUAUAGAACUAUUAAGUUUUUAUAUUGGGCCUAACACAACCCUACAAAGCUGGUUUUGUAAGAAUGAGUUAGGCCCUAUAUAAAAACUUAAUAUGGUAUCAGAGCCUAUUGAUUUGGGUCAUCCAUUAUUUAUAUACACGCACCAAGCCCAAUAGUGCUGGGCGUGAGGGGAAGUCCCACAUAGAUUAAAGAUAAGGCCUGGCUAGAGUUUAUGAAGAGUGGCACCUCUCACCUUACAAACUAGUUUUGUGGGGUUGUGUUGGACCCACCCACAAAUUCUAAGAAGAACGGUGGAAGUGAAGCAAGCACAUCGUUAAGAUAUACUUUUGAGUGCUAAGACAAAUGUGUGCAUCCACAUAUUACAUGAUAUAGUUUUAUAACUUGCAUGUGUUUAAAAUAAAUAUGCAUGUAUUUUCGUAUUUGAAUUCUUCGUUUGUACCUUCAAUUAGCAAAUCCUGGGUAUGAAAAUUGUUGUAAUUCAACUUAUCUAGGUGUUUAUAUAUUUUGUAAUACUUUCAUGGUUUCUAAAACAUUAUUAAUAGUUUUUUUUUUCUUUCCAAAAUCUGAGUAGGAGCACCAUGAUCAAUUACUGACUAGCCUGCCGGCUGUCGAAUCUGUACUUGAGGUAAUGAUGAAAUAAAUACCAUGAAUUUUUUGGCUACAUUUAGAUCACGGCUUUGGUUAUUCAUAUUUCUCAGAUAAAUUAUUUCUUUAUUUGAAUUGACUUUAAGAACUAUGUACCAGAGGUUUGCCGAUGCUCUAAAUCAAUACGAGAUUGCCUCUUCUAUAUACCAUCAAGCUGACCAAGAGAGGUCUAGUCUUACAUUACAUGAGACAUCUGCUAAGUCGAUUGUUGGUGAAGCAACCCGGAAUUCAGAGAAAAUUCGGGUUUCGUUUGAAAUUCAGGCUCGGGAAUUUGCACAAGCAAAGGCUAUGGUUGCUGAGAAAGCUCAGGAGGCAAUGACUUGGGCUGAGCAACAUGGAAGGAUUCUUGAUGCUUUACGAUGCAGCUUAAUACCAGAAAUAAGUUCUUAUUUUAAGCUGAGUGACAUAGAAGUUGCCUUAUCUCUUACAUCUGCAGUUACUUUAGCAGGUGUUCCACUAACUGUUGUUCCUGAGCCAACACAGGUACAAUGCCAUGAUAUAGAUAGGGAAGUUUCUCAAUUCAUAGCUGAGUUGGAUGAUGGACUAACUUCUGCCAUAACUUGUCUGCAAGCGUACUCCUUGGCUCUGCAAAGAAUUCUACCAUUAAAUUACCUUUCAACUAGUGCGGUACAUUGCUGGGCUCAAGUUCUUGAAUUAUCUGUCAAUGCCCUGUCAUCUGAUAUUCUCUCUCUUGCCAGAAGGCAGGCUUCUGAACUUUUUGCAAAAUUUCAUGUAGAUAGCACUGAUUCCAUCAAACGCAGUUAUGAUGAUCUUUGUCUUAGAGUGGACAAGUAUGCUCUAGAAAUAGAAAAGUUGGAAAAUGAGUGUACUGAAAUAGAAAGUUCUAUAGGCUUAGAGUCAGAAUCGAUAACUAAGGAUCAUCUUUUGUCAGCUUUCAUGAAAUUCAUGCAAUCCAUGGAUCUUUUGAGAAGGGAAGGUGGAAUGUCUUCCGUUCAAUCUAGAUAUGAUGGGACAAACAGUACUAGACUUUUAGGUGAGCUAGAAGAGGAGAGGGAGAAAGUACUAACAAUUCUAAAUAUUGCUGUAAGUUCAUUUUAUAAUGAGAUUAAGCAUAGAGUACUCAAUAUAUAUAGUGAUUUGUCAGGAGGAAGAAAUCAAUACAAUAUGUUGCGGAAUGAUUAUGGAACUAUUUUUGCUUGGUUUGAAGAACAAGUAGAAAAAUGUAAUCUCCUGACAGAAUUUGUCAAUGAUCUAAGGCAAUUCAUUGGAAAGGAUAUCUCUUCUAUUGAUCAAAACAAAGAUAAUUCAAAGUUUUCAUCUGAAAGUAAUUGGGUUUCCAUUUUCAAAACCAUUCUGACUUCCUGUAAGGGAUUGAUUAGUCAAAUGACUGAAGUUGUUCUGCCAGAUGUGAUACGAUCCGCAGUUUCAUUAAAAUCUGAAGUUAUGGAUGCAUUUGGGUUGAUCUCACAAGUUCGAGGAUCUAUAGAAACUGCAUUGGAACAGGUUGUGGAGGUUGAAAUGGAGAGAGCAUCACUGUUUGAACUUGAGCAGAAUUAUUUUGUUAAGGUUGGUCUUAUUACUGAGCAGCAGUUGGCUCUUGAACAAGCUGCAGUUAAGGGCAGGGAUCAUCUUUCAUGGGAAGAGGCAGAGGAACUUGCAUCCCAAGAGGAAGCUUGUAGAGCACAACUAGAUGAACUUCAUCAAACUUGGAGUCAGAGGGAUGUAAGGACCUCUUCACUUCUUAAGAGAGAAGCUGAUAUUAAAAAUUCACUAGUUUCGGUGAAAUGUCAAUUUCAAUCUCUAGUUGGCGUGGAAGAAAAAAGCGAGCUACAUAUUUUGAGAAGUAAAGCACUAUUGGCUGCACUUGUUAAACCUUUCUUAGAACUAGAAUCCAGUGAUAUUAUGUUGUCUCCGGCUGAUGGUUCUGUUGCGACUCCCUCAAGUAAAUUUCACACGCUUGCAGAUUUUAUAAAUUCUGGGAAUUCCAUUUCUGAGUAUGUCUGGAAAGUUGGAGGUUUAUUAGAUGACCAUUCAUUCUUUAUUUGGAAAGUAGGUGUUAUAGAUUCUUUUGUUGAUGCAUGCAUACAUGAUGUAGCUUCGUCGGUUGAGCAAAAUUUAGGCUUUGACCAGUCCCUCAAUUUUAUGAAGAAAAAGCUUGAAAUUCAACUUCAGAAACACAUUAGUCAGUAUUUGAAAGAAAGAGUUGCCCCUAGUUUGUUGGCCUGUUUGGAUAGAGAAAUGGAGCACUUGAAACAAUUAACAGAUUCAUCAAAAGAACUCGCUUUAGAUCAGGUGAAAAAGGAUGGGGCUGCAAAGAAGGUUUUACAUAUGCUUGAGGAGUAUUGUAAUGCACAUGAAACAGCUAGAGCAGCAAAGUCAGCAGCUUCUCUAAUGAAAAGACAAGUGAGUGAGUUGAAAGAAGCUCUUCGGAAAACUACCCUUGAGGUAGUUCAGAUGGAAUGGAUGCAUGAUGAUAUUUUGAACCCAUCAUAUAACAGAAGAAUCACAUAUGAGAAGUAUCUUGAUACUGGUGACAGCUUGUAUCCAAUCAUUUUAAAUCUCAGCAGAUCUAAGUUAUUGGAAAAUAUACAAUCUGCCAUUUCAAAAAUCACGUCGUCAACAGAUAGCCUUCAGUCUUGCGAACAACCUUCUCUUAUAGCCGAAGGACAGCUUGAGAGAGCAAUGGGUUGGGCUUGUGGGGGUCCAAAUUCAAGUAGUUCUGGGAAUUCCUCAACUAAAAAUUCAGGAAUUCCUCCCGAGUUCCAUGAACAUAUUAAGAAACGGAGGGAGAUUUUAUGGGAAUCUAGAGAAAAAGCAUCAGACAUUGUGAAGUUAUGCAUGUCAGUAUUAGAGUUUGAAGCAUCAAGAGAUGGGUAUUUUCUUAUACCAGGGCAAUCAUAUCCCUUUAGGAGUGGUGUUGAUAGAAAUACAUGGCAGCAAUUGUACUUGAACUCACUAACAAGAUUGGAUGUUACUUUCCAUUCUUAUACACGUGAGUUUGCAAUAUUCCUCUAUAGUUGACAUCACUUCGCUCCAAUUAAACUUCUGCAUGAAAUUGAACUUUGCUUUCCUGUUCUCGAAAUAGGUACUGAACAAGAGUGGAAGCUUGCACAAUGCACUGUUGAAGCUGCCUCCAAUGGAUUAUAUACUGCUACCAAUGAACUCUGCAUUGCCUCUCUGAAAGCGAAGUCAGCUUCCGGUAGAUCUCAUUGAUCCUGGUUGCUGGUCAAUUGGACAUUGAUGUUCAAACAUGCAUAUGCAUGUUUUAUUUGAUUUUUGGGUGUAGCAGCAUUGUUUCUGCAUAUUUUAAUUUAAUAUGUUCUUUACUUUUAUAUAGGUGAGUUACAAAGCACAGUUCUUUCAAUGAGGGAUUGUGCGUAUGAGGCUAGUGUUGCACUGUCUGCUUUUGCUCAGGUUUCAAGGAUGCAUACUGCUUUAACUUCUGAAUGUGGUUCUAUGCUUGAAGAGGUGCAGUUUCUACAGUAUUUGAUGUUACCUUGUAUUACUAAGGAUUGUAAUUCUGAACUAAUUUUCUUCUUGGUUUACAGAAUUUGAUAUCUAUUGAUGUCUAAUACAUUUAUUGUUUAUAUCAUUAUAUUGUUCUAAAUUUUAAUAUUAACAAGACCAAUUUGAUCAAUCAAUCUAAUAUAGCAUUUGAAUUUUUAAUAUUAAUGUAAUUUGAUGAACUUGUCUCAAAAUCUUCUAGUUAUGUGACACUUACCUGUUAACCAUGUAAUAGUAAAUUAUGAGCCCCCCCACCAAAUAAUCCCAAUUCAUUAAACGGAUUUGGUAUACAAAUAAGAAAAUUUACCCUGAUUACCCAAUCUCCUGUCACCAUAGCUUAAACAGUAUGAUUGAUGUCCAAUUCAUUAAAGGAUUAUUACUGUCUGCAGUUUGCAACACUCCGUAAAAAGUGUAUAAAUAAAUUAGGUGCUGUGUUCCUUUAAUCUCCUUAGGUCUUCAUUCCAUUGAUUGUUUGUUACCUAAAGUUGCUUUGUUAUUGUAGGUUCUAGCAAUAACUGAAGAUGUACACGACGUUUACAAUCUGGGGAAGGAGGCAGCUUCAAUCCACCUUUCUCUCAUGGAAAAUCUUUCAGAGGUUUUUCUUAUCCCUUUGUAGAUUUAUAAUAUGACUGUCAGGUUUCGGGUGUAACUUUCUAUUCUAUAUUUCCUGAUAUCAAGCUUCACCCUAAAGUAAAAUUGUAUUUUGGUGGUUUUAUGUUUUCGAUAGGUGAAUGCCAUCCUUCUUCCACUUGAAUCGGUGUUGUCUAAGGAUGCAGCUGCUAUGGCUGAUGCUAUAGCUAGGGAAAGUGAGACCAAGAAGGAAAUAUCACACAUCCAUGGACAAGCUAUAUAUCAAUCAUACAGUUUAAGGAUCAGGGAAUCUUGUCAGACCUUUAAGCCAUUCGUGCCAUCUCUGACAUCAGCUGUGAAGGGGCUUUAUUCACUAUUAACUAGGCUGGCAAGAACAGCUAAUCUCCAUGCUGGGAAUCUGCACAAAGUAAUAUGAAAGUUUCACGAUAUUUUUGGUUACUUGUUUCUCUUUUAUACAUAUAUGUGUGUGUCUGUGUGUGUGUGCACACAUUUAUAUGAAAUCCAUGCAAAAAAGUUUUGUAGAUAUUUUUUUUUUUGGCUCAUAUUUUGAAAGAACAAAUAUAAAUUCGUGCUAUUUGUUUUCAGGCUCUUGAAGGAAUAGGAGAAAGUCAGGAAGUAAAAUCACAGGAUAUUGUUUUGUCUACAUCAGAUGCUGGUGGUGGUGAUGCUGUUGAGUUUGAUAGUAAAGAAGGGGAGAGUCUCUCUAGGUCUGAUGAUGACAAGACAGACGAUAUUAUUGGCUUUUCUCGACUUUCUUUGGAAGAAAAAGGAUGGAUAUCACCACCAGAUAGCAGCUUCUGUAGCAGCUCAGAAUCUGACAGUACAUCUGCUGAAGUUAGUCUUCCUGAUAGCUUGAAUGAUUCGGCAGAAAAUACAGAUAUGCUUUCACAGGUGUCUAGUAGCAGAAACCCUAUCAGUCAUUUACAUACCUCUUCUUUGUCUCAAACUGAUGUAGAAGAAAUCUCACCUUUUGAGGUGUCAGAAUCGUUUCCUCUGGAAGCUGAUCUCAACAGUGCUGAAUCUCUAAAGUUAACUAAUGAGGCCACCGAACAUCCCAGUGCUAUGCCUUUUCCCAGUGAGAAAUCUGUUGCCAGCUCUGCUGUCUCCCAGAACCCAUCAAAUGAGAACUUAGACAAGUUUGAUGGUGAAGAUGAUUUUCUUUCUACAAAUAAAGCUAAGAAUGGCACAGAUCACCGAGAAACUCCCGAUGUUGACUUCUAUACCAGUACUCGAGUAGGAAGGGGUAUGUAUAAAGUCUUUUUUCAACUACUUAUUUCUUGUCUCUUUUCAUUUGAUUUAAAUCUCACAUUAGUAACCAAGUGAUUGGGCUCAAUUGGUUAAUGAGCUCCAGUUAAGGAUGAAUCAUUUGGGAGAACUUGAGUUUCAAUCGUGGCUGGAACAAUGUGCGAGAUAGGAACCGCUAACAAUCUUUUACAUUCACCCUCGUAGUAUUUAAUUUACGUCCUUUGACUUCAUAAAAUCUUUGUGACUUCAUAAAACCUUUUCUGUUUGCACUUAUCUGUAGGCAAAAAUGCUUAUGCCUUGUCAGUAUUGAGGCGGGUUGAGAUGAAAAUUGAUGGUCGGGAUAUUUCUGAACGCAGGUAUGGGUAUAUAGCUCUUUUUGGCACUCAAUCUUCUGCUGAACUUUAUCACUGAUACCGAACCUUCUUUGAAUUUCAGAGAAAUUAGUAUUGCAGAGCAAGUAGAUUAUCUACUAAAGCAAGCUACUAGUGCAGAUAAUCUUUGUAACAUGUACGAAGGUUGGACACCAUGGAUUUGAGGUUUCAGGAGGUUUCUCAUACUUGAACAUCUUAAAUAGAAGUCCCAUUCUCAAUAUCAUGUAAGAACUGGCCUCAGGCAUGUUCAGUUGAUCAAGGUGUGGAGUAGGACCUUUGGUGUGAUUAUUUCCUUGUGACAAGGAAGCCCCCACUCCGAUGUUUUUGGAGGUCCCUUUAGUCUGGCCAUAUUGUGAAAUCUACCAAUGAUCCCAAUUAGUAAUCUAUGCAUGGCCGCUACUGAACUGAGUUCUGUUUAGAUUCCGCCAUCCUUUUGAUUUCAGCAUUUGUCCUGGCAGAGUUAUUAUUUCACACCUUGCAUGCGGGAUUGCAUCUUCUAUCCCAUGAUAUGCUGCAGAGAAGUUCAAGGCUCGCAGCUGGGCUCGUGGAAUAUUAUAAAAAUUUGGUGCCUUCUCCUGAUGUAAACAGUGCGCUGCAGCUUUGAACACCUGUUACUUGCAUUGCCAUAUUGAUGGAAAAGUAUUAUUUGGCUCCCCUCGGCUCUUGAAGGCUAAAAGAAAAGACGCUGUAUACUAACAAUCGGGCUGUGGAUUAUCCAGUUAUUGUUUUGGCUGGAGCAUUACAUGUUUGCAAAACUGAAGUCCAGCAUCAGUUGCACAUAUCCAUGUAAUAUUCAUAUAUAUAAGAUAUAGGUCAAAUAAUCAACCGCACUUUCCUUUAUUAUGCAAUGUCAAUCCUGCCCAAGAUUGGGUUGGUGAUUGAUAUUUGAACUGUUUGACAUUAUUGUAAAUUUCAUGUACUUUUACCAUUUUAGUGCUCUUUGUACAACUCUUCCUCUAUAGAAGGAAGGAACUUGUAUGACAUUUGCCCACACCUAUAAUAUAAGAAAUAAAAAAAUUCUAAUGUUGCAUCUCUUGGCAAUUGAGAACCCAAGAUUUUAGGUUCAUAUCAUAAUAUCACUACAAAGAUGACCUUAGUUUUUUUUUUUUCUUCUUUUUAUAGAAAUAGAUGAUUAUAGUUUUAAAAAAUUUCUCCAUUUUAUUAUUAUUUUAAUUUAAAUAAUCUUUUUAAAUAUAUUUUUCGAAACAUGCUUUAACAAGUGAGUAACUUGUAUCAAAUGCAAAACUUCUAUCAACCUAUAAAUCAUGCAUCCUUAAAAUUUUGGUUUCUGUAGUUUCUUAUCUACUUAACUCUAGGACUAAAAUUUCUUGAUGUGCAUGAAAUUUUCAUGUUUUUAAUUAAAUAAGAAAUAAUAUCCUAAAGAUAAGGAUAUAUGGGUUCAUCAUAGUUAUCCUUGCAUACAGCAGAUGCGCCACUAGGGAGGGAUGGGAGCACGUGGCAAUAUAUGAGACAUAAUACGGGGAUCUUCUCUCGGCCGUUGUUAAUGCAAACCUCGUACGUUGUAACUGAAUCUGAUUGAGAUUUGAGCCAAGCCAACAGAUAGAUACAUUGCAAAGGUAAAAACAGUGGCUAUUUCUACGGUGCAAUAAUACAACUCAACUUUUAUGUGGGUGGUGCAAGUUGUUUAUUUAUACACUUGAUAGUACCGUAGCACGGGAUUGCUAUUUGCUAGUAUUUUACUUCAUAGUUUAUAGUUUAUACUACUAUAGCAUAGUUGGUCAAUAAUAAUACUAAUCUAAUACAACGGUAUCGCUAGCGGUUUUGCAUACAAAAGUUUUAUUAUCUUAGCACAAAAGCUUCUGUAGUUGUUUAUAUAAAAAAUAACUUUCCAGUAUUUCAUUUCAGCUCGAGCAUGAAGUUAUUUAUUUCUUAACCGACUGACUUCCUUAUCCUUAUAUAUAUCUCAAACAAAAUCCAAAGCAAAUUAAACAUCCACUCUACUAUACUAGUACUAAUUUUGAGCUUACCGAUCAUUUUAGUGCUUUUGGUCUUUUUGUAGUGAUGUCUGGACUUGUUGAUAUAUGGACAAACGAGAUGUCCAAACUGAGAGAAAAAGAAAAGGAAAAGUGUCAAAUUCACUCUGCUAUCUCGACCAACUUCACUCAACAUAAGUUCAUCCUUAUACAGCCUUUGUAAUUCAUUGUACUCUUAAUCUCUGACGGACGAACUUCGGUACCAUUUGUAUUCAAGUGGUCUGUGUUGGGUUGUUAAUGUAUUUGUACUCUUUUUAGCCUAAUUGACUCUGACACACAUACCUAUACAUAUCUUUUAUCUUUAACAUCUUUAAUUAUCUAUUUAAUAAAAUUAUGAAAAUUUAACAUUUUGAAAAUAUUGACCUAGACGAAUCCAACAUCUUAUAUAAUUAUUAUUUAUCUUUGAAUAUUAAUAGAAAAAUAUGAUCAAAAUAUGUCGGAUCAAAGUGCAUAUUGUCAAACAUAUCAUCUAAUAUGGAAUGAAAUGAAUACUUAUAUAUGCUUUAAAGACUAUUUAGCAUUCUCCUUAAAAAAAGUCAUCCUUAUAUAUUAUUUUACUUUAAUUCUUAAUAAUAUUGUUGUUUCAUUAUUUAGAUGCGCUAAGAAUCUAGAGAAUAUUAUUUAACCAUUAGCUUGGAAUAGUAUACUUGGAAAAUAAAGACACAUGACAUUAUUAGUUAAAUGGACUAGAACUACUGGGUUACAUUUGGAGGUGAAGUGAAGAUCGAAGAGAGAAGAGUUUUUGGGAUGAUGAGAGUAGGGGAAAAAUAGUGACAUAUUUAAAUUUUUGAGAAAUGAUUUAUUAUAGGAUGAUAAGAGAAUAAAUAUUUUGAUAUAUUUUUAACCAUUAGUGUAUUGUAACAACAUAGAUUAGAUUUGGAUCCUAAAAAAAAAAAAAAUAGAUUUGGAGAAUUUACUCAAUCCUUCCAAAAUCCUUCUUUCGUAUAAUUCUUUUAAAUCAACAAAAUUUUGUAUCAUGAAUAAAAAUAAAUCCCUAAAGUCCUUCCUUCCUACCUAAAAUUUCUCAUUAUUUCCACUCCAUCCUUCUUUUUUUUUUUUUCAAACCUCUCUCCUUACUUCCCCUGGAAACUCUCAAACAGAUCGUAAGUGUCUUGUUCAUGUUUAGGAUAAGAUGACCUUAACACAUCAUCUUCUAGUUUCUUUGACUGCUGAUUAUAUUGUCCCAUGAUUCAAAAAGGAUUAUCAUAUUGUGUCAACUUUUGUCAAUGAUGUUGUCGGUAUCACCAUUGAACAUAAUAUCUAGUAUGAAAUCCUCCUUGUAUUCUAGGUAGUCAUCUAACUUUUCAUUAUCCCACUUUAGAAAGUCAGUUGAUGCAACCUUCUGUUCACGGCUAUCUAUGGAGAAGUUGGCAAAUGAAUGACAUCUUUGCCUAAUGGUUUUGGUUCAUGAACAUCUAGCCCUAGUAUAUUAGUAGUUUUUUCCUUAAGAAUUCUACUAUUGUUGGGCCAAUUAUCAACGGCUCAUCAGAGGCCCCAACUUCUUUGUUGGGAGAUCCGUCCCACCUUAUGGGGUUUCCCAGCUUUGAAGUCACUAAAGAUUGGGAUCUUUGAGGUGACUAGCCUGUCAAAUAUCGAUGUCUUACGUGUAGCUCGACUCCUUGGAAGGACUCAAUUGAUCUAGGUUUGGGCUGCUGAACUUGCUUCAUCACUUUCUUCCACUUUCCAUUUGUUCUAAAGCAUGUGGGUUUAGAGAAAGAAACCAUGGUUAUCUCCAUGUUUGAGAAACGAUUGGUAUAUUCAAAAGUUAAUACAGUUAGUUAUUGCGUGGUUGUAGGAAUUGUGCCAUUUAUUUUGCCUUUAGUUUUCUCAAUUAUAGAGGAAUUUUAUGAUCAUCAAGUAGCCAAAUCUACUUAUCUUUCAGCAUAUAAUCAAAUAUUUGGUUAUGUCAAAGAUGUACUUAGUUCAGUAUUCUAAUGUAGUGGUGUCCUUCCUUUUAGCUGAUCUCAAAGCCGAAAACAUAUAACUUUCCCAUUUCAAGACCUAAGUCGUUAAAUUGUAUGUCGUUUGACCGACUGACAUAUCAUCAUUGGAUUCUUCCAUGUCUAUAUGGAAACAAGGUGUGAACCUUUUCGUAGGCUAGUAUACCUCUUUUGUGUAUUUUAUAAACUACUCUAUGUAUUAUCUUCGGGAGGGUCGUUCAUUCAAACCAUGAUAGUCUUUUCCAACCAACUUACCUUUUAGUUGAGGUGUAUGUCAUUAUUUACCAUUGAUGCAUAUUUAGCCUCACAAAAUUUACAAACAUUUUCCAUCCAUUUUUCCUGAACCUUUCAAUAUAAUUAGUAGCUGAUUUAUUGUUAUCUAAGAUUGAACAUUAGCUCAAUCCAAAAAAUUUAAGUAAGCAGUGGCAGAUCUUCUCUUAAACUUAUGGAAGUCAUGACAUACCCCAGUUUGGAUCUUCUCUUAGUUCCAUGCGAGCCAUGACAUCCCCACUUUUUCUAUAUAUACCAUAUAUGGCAUAAAAGUUACACAAGUUUUCCUCUGCCACAGUGGGUAGUGAGUAUGCGGGAAUUGAACCCGCAUUCCUGCACCGGAUUCAAGCAAAAGUAACCCACUUUUUUUUUAAACAAGCAAAAGUAAACCACCAGACUAGUUAAUAUUUCUGAUAAUUUUUUGAAACAGCUUAAUAUACGUUCCAUAAACUUUUGACACCCCUAAAAAAUAACUCAAGAUCCAUCACUAUAUGUGAACACCAAACAUAAAAAUAAAAAAAAUAAAAAAAUAAAAAAAAAAAAGUGAUUACCUUUUUUAUACUUUAUAUCAUAUUAAAAAAACAACAUUUAUUUUCUUUUUAUAUUCGACAAAAACAAUAUUUAGAAGAAAAAGCAUAAUAUAAAUAAGAGAGAUAGUCGUUCAAAAAAUAUUAAAAAAAUAUAUUUUUUUGGAUAAAAAUAGCAACAUGUCAUUUCUCAUCAUAUUAUUCAAUUCUAGUGUAUUCCAUCACAAUUCCAUCUUAUCCUUAUCACCAAAUUAUGUCCUACAAUAAUUACUAUGAGACAAAACCAUUUACAUCACCAACAGAAAAAAGGGCAAAAACAACAAAAGAAAUGGCCCCAGAAUAUUCUAAACUUUUUAGUAUAUCCAAACCAACCUACAGUAAGUCACGUUCCUUGUUGUACUGUGUGCCACCGCAUCCCAAAGUGCGCCAAAGGUCCCAAUGCAUUGCCCCUAGUUUAGUUGCCUCAACAAAACCUUAUAUUAUAAAUAACCCUAUUCUCAUAAUAAGUUCCUAAUAUAUUGAAAACAAAACACAAAUCCAGACAAAGAAUUAAGAAAAUUAAUGGCUGCCAUUGUAGAGGGAUGGGUUGGGGAGCUAACAAAGCUCAGAGAAAAAGUUCUUCCCAACAAGAGCAAGCCUUUGCUUUCAAAAGCCAAACAUGGAGCAGAUCAAAACAACAAGAAGAACGUUGGUGUUCCACCAAGAGACACCUCUGUUGCCUCUGACUCUUCAACUAUGUCAGAGGCAACCGUGUGUUUGCUUAUGGAUCGAUUUGUUCCUUGGUGAUAAUAUUUAUUCCUAGUCCAGUAACAUGUGUAUAUAUUCUAGCUUCUUGUGUUUUUUGUUGCAAGAUUAAUUGAGAUGCAUGGUUUGUAUUGUAUAUAUACUUGAUCGAUCUAUGUAUGUUACUUUUCAUAGUAAUGGAAAUUUACUUCUCUUGCUAAUUGUUUGUGCUUGUUUAGAUUCAUAAACCUAAUAGCUUGCAGUUUUGCGUGAAAAUGUGAUGUUCAAUUUAUUUAUGUGGUUGUUUUUAGUUCAGUGUGAUGAUCAAAUUUAGUGAUACACACUCUGCAAGAGUUUCCCUAUCAGAAGUUUUUUAUUUUUGAUGUGCAUAAAAGUUCAGAAGUUACAAAAUAUUAUUGUUGAAAAAGUGCUCUUUGGUCUCUUGAAGAUAUUUCUCAACAAAAAAACAAAAAACAUCAGGGUCUCUUGAGAUAUUUAUUUUGAUAAAAAAUCUCUCUUAAGAUAUGUUUCAUAGGUCUCAAUUCCAUCCAACUUCAACAAUCCAAACAAAUCCUAAGAUAUUUGGAAAAAAAUUAUUUUCUAUGAUCUGCCUUUUAUAUAAUUUGUAUACGUAUAUUGCACCUAUACAACAAUUGGUGGGACUGUGAAAAGGAAGAACUUCUAUUAUAAUUCCAACUUCAUGAAUCUAUGAUCAAAUAUUCAAUUAGAGUCCUCUUCCUUUUCUCUCUUUUUCAUACAUCAAUUUCUAGACUGUUUGUACAUAUGAUAGUGUUAGGUAUUUGCAGUUUUUAGGCAUUGUUUUGUGCCUAAUGGUGGAACAACAGUUUUUUGUUUUGACAAAGUGUUUGAAUAUUAGUUGAAAUAGCUUACUUGUUUAAAAAAAUAGUUGAAAUAGUUAAAAAUAUUUUCCAACUAUAAAUUGAUUUUUAGUUAUUUG